AUGGGACCCUUUUCCUUAGUCAUCAACUUGUAUUCUGUGUCCUUAGUUGUCUGGUCUCAGUGGGACUGUGUGAAUCUUGAUAACUCACUAUACCAUUGGGUACCAUUGGGCAGAGUAACUUUUUGCUCCUUUAGAUUUUGCCUGACUUUAGUAUUCUAUUUAUCUUGCAGCAAGCAGCUCUGUGUUACAAUGGAACGUGCCUCAGUCUUCUAGAAAACAAGCAAGCUGGCUCUGUGCUAUGAUGGAAUGUACCUUGGUCUUCUACAAAACAAGCAAGCAGCUCUGUGCUACAAUGGAACGUGCCUCAGUCUUCUAGAAAACAAGCAAGCAGCUCUGUGCUACAAUGGAACGUGCCUCAGUCUUCUAGAAAACAAGCAAGCUGGCUCUGUGCUAUGAUGGAAUGUACCUUGGUCUUCUACAAAACAAGGUAAGAUGUUCCAUGGUUUCAGUCACCCUGGAUUGGUCUUUAUAUUCAUUCUGUCUCUUCAUCUAUAAGGCUCUAACCCACAGGACCUC
This is a long non-coding RNA of Xenopus laevis (African clawed frog), 516 nucleotides long. RefSeq lists it as uncharacterized. The transcript is spliced from 5 exons. The record is from RefSeq and is a predicted model, not a curated record. NCBI's taxonomy places the organism in Eukaryota, Metazoa, Chordata, Amphibia, Anura, Pipidae.